GUGGGGAAUCUUCCGCAAUGGACGAAAGUCUGACGGAGCAACGCCGCGUGAGUGAUGAAGGUCUUCGGAUUGUAAAGCUCUGUUAAUCGGGACGAAAGAGCCUAGUGUGAAUAAUGCUAGGAAGUGACGGUACCGGAAUAGAAAGCCACGGCUAACUACGUGCCAGCAGCCGCGGUAAUACGUAGGUGGCAAGCGUUGUCCGGAAUUAUUGGGCGUAAAGCGCGCGCAGGCGGAUCUGCCAGUCUGUCUUAAAAGUUCGGGGCUUAACCCCGUGAUGGGAUGGAAACUACAGAUCUAGAGUAUCGGAGAGGAAAGUGGAAUUCCUAGUGUAGCGGUGAAAUGCGUAGAUAUUAGGAAGAACACCAGUGGCGAAGGCGACUUUCUGGACGAAAACUGACGCUGAGGCGCGAAAGCCAGGGGAGCGAACGGGAUUAGAGACCCCUGUAGUCC
RNAcentral lists this ribosomal RNA (450 nucleotides) under uncultured bacterium. RNAcentral's name for it is "partial 16S ribosomal RNA". It matches the Rfam family "Bacterial small subunit ribosomal RNA", at positions 354 to 796 of the family's 1533-position model. The record is from RNAcentral.